GUUUAAGCUAAUAAGGGUGUAUGGUGGAUGCCUUGGCGUCCAGAGCCGAUGAAGGUCGUGGGAUAGCUGCGAAAAGCUUCGGGGAGCCGCUAACCAGGCUAUGAUCCGGAGAUGACCGAGAUUGGGUAACCAAGCAGGGAAACCCCUGUUGACGGCAAUGCCGUCGGGAACGCGGAGAACUGAAACAUCUAAGUACCCGCAGGAGAGGAAAGAAAACUCGACUCCCUAAGUAGCGGCGAGCGAACGGGGAUCAGCCUAAACCGGUGUAGUGCCAAGCUUGUGGGCGUUGCUUCACCGGUGUCGUGGGACCUUCGGACCCAACCACAAUAGGGUCAAGGAGUUACAAAGUGAUCGGUUAGACGAAUGGCAUGGGAAGGCCAGCCGCAGCGGGUGACAGCCCCGUAGUCGAAAACCGUGAACCUCCUGAAGUCAUCCCGAGUAGUGCCAGACACGGGAAACCUGGUAUGAAUUCGCGGGGACCACCCCGUAAGGCUAAGUACUCCUGGACGACCGAUAGCGUAAUAGUAGCGCGAGCGAAAGGUGAAAAGUACCCCUGUUAGGGGAGUGAAAUAGUACCUGAAACCAUAUACCUACAAGCUGUCGAAGGCCUAUGGCCCCUCGGGGCAACGGCUGACGGCGUGCCUUUUGCAUAAUGAUCCGGCGAGUUACGCUGUAUGGCGAGGUUAAGGGUCUAAGGCCCGGAGCCGAAGGGAAACCGAGUGUGAAUAGCGCGACUUGAGUCAUGCGGCGUAGACCCGAAAGCGAGUGAUCUAUCCAUGGGCAGGCUGAAGCGGAUGUAACAGUCCGUGGAGGGCCGAACGGGUAUAGGUUGAAAACUGUUCCGAUGACCUGUGGAUAGGAGUGAAAGGCUAAUCAAACUCGCAGAUAGCUGGUUCUCCCCGAAAUAGCUUUCGGGCUAGCGUCAGGUAAUAGCGUGCGGGGGUAGAGACACUGAUUGGGAUAGGGGCCCUUCGGGGUACCCUACUCAGCCAAACUCCGAAUACCGCACGUGGUAUCCUGGCAGUCAGACUAUGGGCGAUAAGGUCCGUGGUCGAGAGGGAAACAGCCCAGACCGCCAGCUAAGGUCCCUAAUGUGUGCUAAGUGCAGAAAAGGAACUGAAGUCUCUAAGACAGCCAGGAUGUUGGCUUAGAAGCAGCCAUCAUUUAAAGAGUGCGUAACAGCUCACUGGUCGAGAGGCUUUGGGCCGAAAAUGAACGGGGCUCAAGUGCACAACCGAAGCUGCGGAUUGCAAGGAGUCGUUGGCUCCUUGCAGUGGUAGGGGAGCGUUCUGACUGGGUGAAGGGCUACGGUAACGAGGCCUGGACGGUUCAGAAGUGAUUAUGCCGGAAUGAGUAACGAUAAAGCAGGUGAGAAUCCUGCUCGCCGAAAACCUAAGGUUUCCUGGGCACGGUAAAUCCGCCCAGGGUUAGUCGGGUCCUAAGGCGAGGCCGAAAGGCGUAGUCGAUGGGUAACGGGUUAAUAUUCCCGUACUGCCAACUAGCGUUUGACCGAUGGGGUGACGCGGGAGAGAAGGUGAUCAGGCUGACAGAUGCCUGUCUAAGCCCGAGGGCGGUGUGUAGGUAAAUCCGCACACGGAAACCCGGAGGUGAAUGCGAGCGCACUAGCGCGAAGUCACUGGACCGACCGCCUAGAAAAUCCUCUAGGGAGCUACGUUGGUAUCCGUACCAAAACUGACACAGGUAGGUGGGGUGAGAAUCCCAAGGCGCUCGAGAGAACUGCUGUUAAGGAACUCGGCAAAAUGACCCCGUAACUUCGGGAGAAGGGGUGCCCCUGGGAGUGUAGACCCUCGCGGUCGAAGCAUCUGGGGGCCGCAGAGAAUUGGCCCAACCAACUGUUUACUAAAAACACAGGUCUAUGCUAACUCUUAACGAGGAUGUAUAUAGACUGACGCCUGCCCAAUGCCGGAAGGUUAAGGGGAGUGGUUAGCGUAAGCGAAGCUGCGAACUGAAGCCCCGGUGAAUGGCGGCCGUAACUAUGACGGUCCUAAGGUAGCGAAGUUCCUUGUCGGGUAAGUUCCGACCCGCACGAAAGGCGUAAUGAGUUGGGCACUGUCUCAACAGCAGACUCGGUGAAAUUGUAGUCGUGGUGAAGAUGCCACGUUCCCGCACCAAGACGGAAAGACCCCGUGAACCUUUACUGCAGCCUGAUAUUGGUGCUUGUUGUGUAGUGCGUAGCAUAGGUGGGAGGCGUCGAAGCGGAGCUCUCGGGUUCUGUGGAGCCAUCAGUGAAAUACCACUCUCUGCACAUUAGGUCUCUAACGCGUAUGUCUGAAUCGGCUGCGCGGACAGUUUCAGGUGGGUAGUUUGGCUGGGGCGGUCUCCUCCUAAAAGGUAACGGAGGAGCGCGAUGGUACACUCAGCGCGGUUAGCAAUCGCGCGUAGAGCGCAAGGGUAUAAGUGUGCCUGACUGCGAGAGAUAUAGCUCGAGCAGAUACGAAAGUAGGUCCUAGUGAUCCGGCGGAUUCCGAGUGGAAGGGCCGUCGCUCAUCAGAUAAAAGGUACUCCGGGGAUAACAGGCUGAUCUCCCCCAAGAGUUCAUAUCGACGGGGAGGUUUGGCACCUCGAUGUCGGCUCAUCGCAUCCUGGGGCUGAAGGCGGUCCCAAGGGUUUGGCUGUUCGCCAAUUAAAGCGGUACGUGAGCUGGGUUUAGACCGUCGUGAGACAGGUCGGUCCCUAUCUGGUGUGGGUGUAGGAUGAUUGAGGAGGUUUUCCCCUAGUACGAGAGGAUUGGGGAGGACGAACCGCUGGUGCUCCAGUUAUCACGCUAGUGGUACAGCUGGGUAGCUAAGUUCGGAACGGAUAAGCGCUGAAUGCAUCUAAGCGCGAAGCCUUCUCCAAGACGAGUCAUCCCUUAGAGUCCCCUGGGAGACUACCAGGUUGAUAGGCAGGCGGUGUAAGCGCAGCAAUGCGUUCAGCUUACCUGUACUAAUCGGACCAUCGGCUUAAACAC
RNAcentral lists this ribosomal RNA (2971 nucleotides) under Planctomycetota bacterium. Its description in RNAcentral is "23S ribosomal RNA". It matches the Rfam family "Bacterial large subunit ribosomal RNA". The record is from RNAcentral. Lineage: Bacteria; Pseudomonadati; Planctomycetota.